GUGCCGUAAAAUUGUAGGAAUCUGAUGAUAGUAUGGCUAGGAGAAACAGAAGGAAAGCUAAGAAAGGAGAGAUGGUUAGUAGCGCUGCCAUGGGAGCCGAGCAGCAGUAGCAAACAGCUGGCUCACGAACUGAGAGAGCACAUUGAUUCCUGGAAAUCCACCAAUUGCAAGAACAGGGGCAACAUCAGAUCCUGGAGUCACCAAUGCGUCUAGUUUAUAGUCCCACAACAACUUCUCGAACCCAUCUCUGGACAGUCUUGCCAGAUUUAGCAACGCCGCUGAUUCCUUGUCUCCGAUACCAUUUGUGGCCUCGGCAGAUAGAAAGAUUUCUUGGCCAAAUUCCUUUAACUUCUCCUGGACCAACCGACAAGAUAUAUAUGUAUCAACCAUGAUUGGAAUGAAAGAGAAGUAAAUGGUUAUAGAUUUUUCGCUUA
This is a long non-coding RNA of Ziziphus jujuba (common jujube), 434 nucleotides long. RefSeq lists it as uncharacterized. The record is from RefSeq and is a predicted model, not a curated record. Lineage: Eukaryota; Viridiplantae; Streptophyta; Magnoliopsida; Rosales; Rhamnaceae. The transcript has 2 exons.